Molecule: ribosomal RNA, 732 nt
Filed under: Funneliformis mosseae
Lineage: Eukaryota; Fungi; Glomeromycota; Glomeromycetes; Glomerales; Glomeraceae
Description: eukaryotic LSU rRNA
Rfam family: Eukaryotic large subunit ribosomal RNA
Source: RNAcentral
AGAUUCCCUCAGNAACGGCGAGCGAAGAGGGAUAAGCUCAAAUUUUAAAUCUGUUGGGUUCCACUUAACAGAGUUGUAUUUUGAAGAAACGUUUUCUGCAUCCAGGAUUAGCCUAAAUCCUUUGGGAUAAGGUAUCAUGGAGGGUGAGAAUCCCGUUCAUGGUUAAUCUUAAGGAAGCUCUACGAUACUGUUUUCCAAGAGUCGAGUUGUUUGGGANNGCAGCUCAAAAUGGGAGGUAAAUUUCUCCUAAGGCUAAAUAUUGGCGAGAGACCGAUAGCGAACAAGUACCGUGAGGGAAAGAUGAAAAGAACUUUGAAAAGAGAGUUAAACAGUACGUGAAAUUGUUGAAAGGGAAACGAUUGAAGUCAGUCAUACCAACGGGAAAUCAACCUUUUGAGCUUGAUUUCGUGGGUUUUGAAGAGUUUCAAAGCCUUCGGAUUCGCGAGAUUGGGAUCUCUCGGUGUACUUUCUCGUACGGUUAGUCAACAUCGGUUUUGAAUGUCAUAAAAUGACUGGAGGAAUGUAGCUUCGAUCUCGUAUUGAAGUGUUAUAGCCUUUGGUAGAUGUGAUGUUUGAGACCGAGGAUUGCAACGGAUACCCUUCAGGGCUAUUCGUCUGAUCUCUGAUACGUUGCCUUGAUGUUGAAAGCUUGCUUAUGAUGUUAGGGUAUUACGGUCAAAAGGUUAGAACGAAUUACAUUCGUUAAGGAUGUUGACGUAAGACUUUAAACGA